GGGUUGGACGCCUCAAUGGUGAGGCAGCGGACUGUAAAUCCGCCGCGGGUACGCAUGGCAGGUUCAAUCCCUGCCCAACCCA
This 82-nucleotide transfer RNA is filed under the name Ignavibacteria bacterium. Its description in RNAcentral is "tRNA-Tyr". It matches the Rfam family "tRNA". From Rfam's summary of the family: Transfer RNA (tRNA) molecules are approximately 80 nucleotides in length. Their secondary structure includes four short double-helical elements and three loops (D, anti-codon, and T loops). The record is from RNAcentral. Lineage: Bacteria; Pseudomonadati; Ignavibacteriota; Ignavibacteria.